AGAGAACAGAAAGCAUCAUCUAUCAUCAGUGUCUGCUUCAGAAGUGCCUACGUUUGAUCUGAGACGACACAUCUGAGCUCUCCACUACAGCGUGCCUACCAUACCACUGUGUGUGUGUGUGUGUGUGAUUGAGUGUGUGUGUGUGUGUGUGAGGCUGCAUGUCUGAGAAUCCCAAAUGUCUUGAAUCCUUCAAACCUGAUGUGAAUAAAACAGGAUGAUGGAGCAACUU
Sander lucioperca (pikeperch) is the source of this 229-nucleotide long non-coding RNA. RefSeq lists it as uncharacterized. Lineage: Eukaryota; Metazoa; Chordata; Actinopteri; Perciformes; Percidae. The record is from RefSeq and is a predicted model, not a curated record. The transcript has 2 exons.